RNAcentral lists this ribosomal RNA (490 nucleotides) under uncultured bacterium. Its description in RNAcentral is "bacterial SSU rRNA". It matches the Rfam family "Bacterial small subunit ribosomal RNA", at positions 15 to 507 of the family's 1533-position model. The record is from RNAcentral.
GAUCCUGGCUCAGAUUGAACGCUGGCGGCAUGCUUUACACAUGCAAGUCGAACGGUAACAGGUUAAGCUGACGAGUGGCGAACGGGUGAGUAAUGCAUCGGAACGUGCCCAGUCGUGGGGGAUAACGCAGCGAAAGCUGUGCUAAUACCGCAUACGAUCUGCGGAUGAAAGCGGGGGACCUUAGGGCCUCGCGCGAUUGGAGCGGCCGAUGUCAGAUUAGGUAGUUGGUGGGGUAAAGGCUCACCAAGCCGACGAUCUGUAGCUGGUCUGAGAGGACGACCAGCCACACUGGGACUGAGACACGGCCCAGACUCCUACGGGAGGCAGCAGUGGGGAAUUUUGGACAAUGGGCGCAAGCCUGAUCCAGCAAUGCCGCGUGCAGGAAGAAGGCCUUCGGGUUGUAAACUGCUUUUGUACGGAGCGAAAAGGUCUUCCCUAAUACGGGAGGCUGAUGACGGUACCGUAAGAAUAAGCACCGGCUAACUACGUG